Cyprinus carpio (common carp) is the source of this 106-nucleotide long non-coding RNA. RefSeq lists it as uncharacterized. Lineage: Eukaryota; Metazoa; Chordata; Actinopteri; Cypriniformes; Cyprinidae. The transcript has 2 exons. The record is from RefSeq and is a predicted model, not a curated record.
AGUCUUCAGUAAAGAUACUAUAUAAAUGACAGCCUCUGAUUGCAGCACAGUUACCCAUCAAAACUCGAAUCCUGAACUUGACAGCUGCAAUUUCUAUCUGAGCAUA